This is a long non-coding RNA of Cotesia glomerata, 155 nucleotides long. RefSeq lists it as uncharacterized. Lineage: Eukaryota; Metazoa; Arthropoda; Insecta; Hymenoptera; Braconidae. The record is from RefSeq and is a predicted model, not a curated record. The transcript has 2 exons.
AUUAAAAAAUUAAAAAAAACUUUUUUAUCGUACUUGGCGCGCGUCAUUGAGUACCCCAAAUUUUUUCAGGAUAAAUAAACAUCCUUUUAAUGCCGAGAAAUUUAUAAAUUUCUUGAACACACCACCAUAUUGACAGUUGUUCUCACUGAAGAUCU